GCUACUGCCAUCAGAGUUCGAUUAAGCCAUGUUAGUCGAGGGUGCUUCUUCUUCGGAAGAGGUAACCCGGCGGACGGCUCAGUAACACGUGGAUAACUUGCCCUUGGGUCCGGGAUAACCCCUGAGAAAUUGGGGACAAUACCGGAUAGGGCAUCGAUAGCUGGAAUGCGCGAUGUCCAAAAGCUGAGGCGCCCAAGGAUAGGUCUGCGGCCGAUUAGGUUGUUGUUGAUGUAAUGGAUCAACAAGCCUGCAAUCGGUACGGGUUGUGAGAGCAAGAGCCCGGAGAUGGGUUCUGAGAAAAGAACCCAGGUCCUACGGGACGCAUCAGGCGCGAAAACUUUACAAUGUGCGAAAGCACGAUAAGGGAACUCUGAGUGCCUCCUACGGAGGCUGUUCAGGUGUCUAAAAAGCACUUGAAGUAAGGGCUGGGUAAGACCGGUGCCAGCCGCCGCGGUAACACCGGCAGCCCAAGUGGUAGCCACGAUUAUUGGGUCUAAAGCGUCCGUAGCCGGCCAGGUAAGUUCUUUGGGAAAUUUAACCGCUCAACGGUUAAGCUUUCAGGGAAUACUGCUUGGCUUGGGACCGGGAGAGGUCAGAGGUACUUCAAGGGUAGGGGUGAAAUCCGUUAAUCCUUGAGGGACCACCAGUAGCGAAGGCGUCUGACCAGACCGGGUCCGACGGUGAGGGACGAAGGCUAGGGUCGCGAACCGGAUUAGAUACCCCGGGUAGUCCUAGCUGUAAACGAUGCGGGCCAGGUGUUGGCAUUACUGCGAGUGAUGUCA
RNAcentral lists this ribosomal RNA (782 nucleotides) under uncultured archaeon. RNAcentral's name for it is "bacterial SSU rRNA". It matches the Rfam family "Archaeal small subunit ribosomal RNA", at positions 23 to 797 of the family's 1478-position model. The record is from RNAcentral.